RNAcentral lists this ribosomal RNA (440 nucleotides) under uncultured bacterium. RNAcentral describes it as "partial 16S ribosomal RNA". It matches the Rfam family "Bacterial small subunit ribosomal RNA", at positions 338 to 795 of the family's 1533-position model. The record is from RNAcentral.
CCUACGGGAGGCAGCAGUGGGGAAUAUUGCACAAUGGGGGAAACCCUGAUGCAGCGACGCCGCGUGAGUGAAGAAGUAUUUCGGUAUGUAAAGCUCUAUCAGCAGGGAAGAGAAUGACGGUACCUGAGUAAGAAGCCCCGGCUAACUACGUGCCAGCAGCCGCGGUAAUACGUAGGGGGCAAGCGUUAUCCGGAUUUACUGGGUGUAAAGGGAGGGUAGACGGCGAAGAAAGUCUGAAGGGAAAGCCCGCGGCUAAACCGCGGAACGGCUUUGGAAACUUGUUUGCUGGAGUGCCGGAGAGGUAAGCGGAAUUCCUAGUGUAGCGGUGAAAUGCGUAGAUAUUAGGAGGAACACCAGUGGCGAAGGCGGCUUACUGGACGGUAACUGACGUUGAGGCUCGAAAGCGUGGGGAGCAAACAGGAUUAGAUACCCGAGUAGUC